This 100-nucleotide small nucleolar RNA is filed under the name Oryza rufipogon (brownbeard rice). Its description in RNAcentral is "snoRNA SNORD14". It matches the Rfam family "Small nucleolar RNA SNORD14", at positions 19 to 107 of the family's 111-position model. From Rfam's summary of the family: U14 small nucleolar RNA (U14 snoRNA) is required for early cleavages of eukaryotic precursor rRNAs. Lineage: Eukaryota; Viridiplantae; Streptophyta; Magnoliopsida; Poales; Poaceae. The record is from RNAcentral.
UUAAGGCUUGUUUCUCAUAACAUUCGCAGUUGCCGCCUAAGAGCUCUCGCCCUGCCAGGCUUGAGAGCUAAUGCUGUUGAUUCCUUCCUUGGAUGUCUGA